UAGGGAAUUUUCCACAAUGGGGGCAACCCUGAUGGAGCAACGCCGCGUGCAGGAUGAAGGCUUUCGGGUCGUAAACUGCUUUUAUAUGUGAAGAAUAUGACGGUAACAUAUGAAUAAGGGUCGGCUAACUACGUGCCAGCAGCCGCGGUCAUACGUAGGACCCAAGCGUUAUUCGGAAUUACUGGGCGUAAAGAGUUGCGUAGGCGGCAAGUUAAGUGGGUAGUGAAAUCGUGUGGCUCAACCAUACAGA
This 250-nucleotide ribosomal RNA is filed under the name uncultured bacterium. RNAcentral describes it as "partial 16S ribosomal RNA". It matches the Rfam family "Bacterial small subunit ribosomal RNA", at positions 355 to 621 of the family's 1533-position model. The record is from RNAcentral.